CCCGCAACGAGCGCAACCCUCGACCUUAGUUGCCACGCAUUCAGUUGGGCACUCUAAGGUGACUGCCGGCUAAAAGUCGGAGGAAGUGGGGAUGACGUCAAAUCAUCAUGCCCCUUAUGACCUGGGCUACACACGUGCUACAAUGGGCGGUACAAAGGGUCGCGAACCCGCGAGGGGAGCCAAUCCCAAAAAGCCGCUCUCAGUUCGGAUUGCAGGCUGCAACUCGCCUGCAUGAAGCCGGAAUCGCUAGUAAUCGCAGGUCAGCAUACUGCGGUGAAUACGUUCCCGGGCCUU
RNAcentral lists this ribosomal RNA (294 nucleotides) under uncultured Anoxybacillus sp. Its description in RNAcentral is "partial 16S ribosomal RNA". It matches the Rfam family "Bacterial small subunit ribosomal RNA", at positions 1086 to 1382 of the family's 1533-position model. The record is from RNAcentral. Lineage: Bacteria; Bacillati; Bacillota; Bacilli; Caryophanales; Anoxybacillaceae.